GAGUAAUGCCUGGGAAAUUGCCUUGAUGUGGGGGAUAACCAUUGGAAACGAUGGCUAAUACCGCAUAACGCUUUUGUUUGUAAUGAACGGAAGCCAAAGAGGGGGACCUUCGGGCCUCUCGCGUCAAGAUAUGCCCAGGUGGGAUUAGCUAGUUGGUGAGGUAAUGGCUCACCAAGGCGACGAUCCCUAGCUGGUCUGAGAGGAUGAUCAGCCACACUGGAACUGAGACACGGUCCAGACUCCUACGGGAGGCAGCAGUGGGGAAUAUUGCACAAUGGGCGCAAGCCUGAUGCAGCCAUGCCGCGUGUAUGAAGAAGGCCUUCGGGUUGUAAAGUACUUUCAGCAGUGAGGAAGGUGGAUGUGUUAAUAGCGCAUUCAUUUGACGUUAGCUGCAGAAGAAGCACCGGCUAACUCCGUGCCAGCAGCCGCGGUAAUACGGAGGGUGCGAGCGUUAAUCGGAAUUACUGGGCGUAAAGCGCAUGCAGGUGGAUGAUUAAGUCAGAUGUGAAAGCCCGGGGCUCAACCUCGGAAUAGCAUUUGAAACUGGUCAUCUAGAGUACUGUAGAGGGGGGUAGAAUUUCAGGUGUAGCGGUGAAAUGCGUAGAGAUCUGAAGGAAUACCAGUGGCGAAGGCGGCCCCCUGGACAGAUACUGACACUCAGAUGCGAAAGCGUGGGGAGCAAACAGGAUUAGAUACCCUGGUAGUCACGCCGUAAACGAUGUCUACUUGGAGGUUGUGGCCUUGAGCCGUGGCUUUCGGAGCUAACGCGUUAAGUAGACCGCCUGGGGAGUACGGUCGCAAGAUUAAAACUCAAAUGAAUUGACGGGGGCCCGCACAAGCGGUGGAGCAUGUGGUUUAAUUCGAUGCAACGCGAAGAACCUUACCUACUCUUGACAUCCAGAGAAGCCAGUGGAGACACAGGUGUGCCUUCGGGAGCUCUGAGACAGGUGCUGCAUGGCUGUCGUCAGCUCGUGUUGUGAAAUGUUGGGUUAAGUCCCGCAACGAGCGCAACCCUUAUCCUUGUUUGCCAGCGAGUAAUGUCGGGAACUCCAGGGAGACUGCCGGUGAUAAACCGGAGGAAGGUGGGGACGACGUCAAGUCAUCAUGGCCCUUACGAGUAGGGCUACACACGUGCUACAAUGGCGCAUACAGAGGGCUGCCAACUUGCAAAAGUGAGCGAAUCCCAAAAAGUGCGUCGUAGUCCGGAUUGGAGUCUGCAACUCGACUCCAUGAAGUCGGAAUCGCUAGUAAUCGUGGAUCAGAAUGCCACGGUGAAUACGUUCCCGGGCCUUGUACACACC
RNAcentral lists this ribosomal RNA (1301 nucleotides) under uncultured bacterium. RNAcentral's name for it is "bacterial SSU rRNA". It matches the Rfam family "Bacterial small subunit ribosomal RNA", at positions 108 to 1391 of the family's 1533-position model. The record is from RNAcentral.